GGCUAGUGAGGCCCUGAAAGUGACAACAGAUAUUCCAAAUACUUCCUAUCUGAAUAAAUAUUUAACCAAGGCUCUGAGGAGGCGCCCUCGAAUCCUCCCUCCCUAUCCCACUCAAUAUUCCACCAAGGCUCUGAGAAGGUGUUCACCAGUCCUCCCUCCCUGUCCUACUCAAUAUGCCACCAAGGCUCUGAGAAGGCGUUCACCAAUCCUCUCUCCCUAUCCCACUCAAUAUUCCACCAAGGCUCUGAGAAGGUGUUCACCAAUCCUCCCUCCCUAUCCUACCCAAUAUUCCACCAAGGCUCUGAGAAGGCGUUCACCAAUCCUCCCUCCCUAUCCUACCCAAUAUGCCACCAAGGCUCUGAGAAGGCAUUCACCAAUCCUCCCUCCCUAUCCUACCCAAUAUUCCACCAAGGCUCUGAGAAGGCGUUCACCAAUCCUCCCUCCCUAUCCUACUCAAUAUUCCACACCAAGGCUCUGAGAAGGCGUUCACCAAUCCUCCCUCCCUAUCCCACUCAAUAUUCCACACCAAGGCUCUGAGAAGGCAUUCACCAAUCCUCCCUCCCUAUCCUACUCAAUAUUCCACACCAAGGCUCUGAGAAGGCAUUCACCAAUCCUCCCUCCCUAUCCCACUCAAUAUUCCACAUCAAGGCUCUGAGAAGGCGUUCACCAAUCCUCCCUCCCUAUCCCACUCAAUAUUCCACACCAAGGCUCUGAGAAGGUGUUCACCAGUCCUCCCUCCCUAUCCUACUCAAUAUUCCACCAAGGCUCUGAGAAGGCGUUCACCAGUCCUCCCUCCCUAUCCUACUCAAUAUUCCACCAAGGCUCUGAGAAGGCGUUCACCAGUCCUCCCUCCCUAUCCCACUCAAUAUGCCACCAAGGCUCUGAGAAGGCGUUCACCAAUCCUCCCUCCCUAUCCUACCCAAUAUUCCACCAAGGCUCUGAGAAGGCGUUCACCAAUCCUCCCUCCCUAUCCUACCCAAUAUUCCACCAAGGCUCUGAGAAGGCGUUCACCAAUCCUCCCUCCCUAUCCUACCCAAUAUGCCACCAAGGCUCUGAGAAGGCGUUCACCAGCCACCAAGGCUCUGAGAAGGCGUUCACCAGUCCUCCCUCCCUGUCCUACUCAAUAUGCCACCAAGGCUCUGAGAAGGCGUUCACCAGUCCUCCCUCCCUAUCCUACCCAAUAUUCCCCCAAGGCUCUGAGAAGGCGUUCACCAAUCCUCCCUCCCUAUCCUACCCAAUAUGCCACCAAGGCUCUGAGAAGGCGUUCACCAAUCCUCCCUCCCUAUCCUACUCAAUAUUCCACCAAGGCUCUGAGAAGGUGUUCACCAAUCCUCCCUUCCUAUCCCACUCAAUAUGCCACCAAGGCUCUGAGAAGGCAUUCACCAAUCCUCCCUCCCUAUCCUACUCAAUAUUCCACCAAGGCUCUGAGAAGGCGUUCACCAAUCCUCCCUCCCUAUCCCACUCAAUAUGCCACCAAGGC
This 1480-nucleotide long non-coding RNA is filed under the name Homo sapiens (human). Its description in RNAcentral is "non-protein coding lnc-STK32C-7:1". The record is from RNAcentral. Lineage: Eukaryota; Metazoa; Chordata; Mammalia; Primates; Hominidae.